CAUCGUUUCCCCUCCCCACUAUCAAAAUCCUCCUCUCCCAUGCCUUAUAUAAUCCAAAGACAUGGUCGCCGAUCGACACAGGGGGGCCAGCUCGGAUCAGUGUCUUGCUAUGUGGACUCCAGCGUCAUCUGAUUUUCAUCAAGAAAUCUGCAUAUGGUUGUGUUCUUGCAUGUCCGUGUUGUUUAUUUCCUGCUUACAUCUGAUGAGAAGUGGAAAAUGGAGUUAAUCCUCCUCUCCCACGCCUUAUAUAAUCCAUCGACAUGGUCGCCAAUCUACACAUGGGGCCUCAGCUCGGACCCACUUCUUUGUAUGUGACUCCAGCGUCAUCUGAUUUUGAUCAAGAAAUCUUCAUAUGGCUGUGUUCUUUCAUGUCUUGGUUGUUUAUUUCCUUAGAUGUGACGAGGAGUGGAAAAUGGAGUUAAUGUGAUUAAAGAACAAUGGAGUUAAUGUGAUUUCCUUAUUGUAUUGCUGAGUACUACUAUAUAUAAGCAAUGCUGUUUUAUAAUCAGCGGUUAUGAUA
Molecule: long non-coding RNA, 520 nt
Organism: Lolium rigidum
Lineage: Eukaryota; Viridiplantae; Streptophyta; Magnoliopsida; Poales; Poaceae
Exons: 3
Source: RefSeq, a predicted model, not a curated record